CGGCGACCGGCGCACGGGUGAGUAACACGUAUGCGACCUGCCCCCCGCAGGGGGAUAACCGGGAGAAAUCCCGACUAAUACCGCGUAACGCCGCGGACCUGCAUGGGUCUGCGGCCAAAGGAAGCGAUUCCAGCGGGGGAUGGGCAUGCGGCGCAUUAGCUAGUCGGCGGGGUAACGGCCCACCGAGGCGACGAUGCGUAGGGGUUCUGAGAGGAAGGUCCCCCACACUGGUACUGAGACACGGACCAGACUCCUACGGGAGGCAGCAG
Molecule: ribosomal RNA, 269 nt
Filed under: uncultured bacterium
Lineage: Bacteria
Description: partial 16S ribosomal RNA
Rfam family: Bacterial small subunit ribosomal RNA
Source: RNAcentral